CCCUUAGAUGUUCUGGGCCGCACGCGUGCUACACUGAUGCAUUCAACGAGUCUAAAACCUGGUCUGAUAGGGCUGGGUAAUCUUUUGAAAGUGCAUCGUGAUUGGGAUAGAUGAUUGCAAUUCUUCAUCUUCAACGAGGAAUGCCUAGUAAACGCAAGUCAUCAGCUUGCAUUGAUUACGUCCCUGCCCUUUGUACACACCGCCCGUCGCUCCUACCGAUUGAAUGAUCCGAUGAAUACCAUGGAUUGAGAGUACGAAUAGGUUCGCUUAUUUCUGCUGCUCGAGAAGUGGAGUAAAUCUUAUCAUUUAGAGGAAGGAGAAGCCGUAACA
RNAcentral lists this ribosomal RNA (330 nucleotides) under uncultured eukaryote. Its description in RNAcentral is "partial 18S ribosomal RNA". It matches the Rfam family "Eukaryotic small subunit ribosomal RNA", at positions 1470 to 1796 of the family's 1831-position model. The record is from RNAcentral.